This is a non-coding RNA of Lolium perenne, 2939 nucleotides long. NCBI's taxonomy places the organism in Eukaryota, Viridiplantae, Streptophyta, Magnoliopsida, Poales, Poaceae. The record is from RefSeq and is a predicted model, not a curated record.
CUGGCCAUCCCCACACUUCCACCCUCCUCCUCCGCGUCAACUUCCCUCUGUCGUCGAGCCCUCCGCCCCCGUUCCCUUCCCUCUCCUGCAGCCGCCGGUGUCCCAUGCCGCCGCGAAAAUGCCUGCACGGAUCUGGCCACAGCGAGACCUUUCCCUAUGCGCUGCCCUCGAUUGAGGGGACUCGGAGCGGCGGCCGGCGGCGCGUCCGGCGAGCCCACGCCGACGAGCCUCUUCGUCGAGUUUGUGCUGGUGGCCGUGCUCUGCGUGGUGAGCAAGCUCCAUGAUCAAUGGGCUGAUUUCUCACACCAGAAAGGGAAGGAAGAUCGAUCGACCAACCGGCCGGUCCGCCACGCGCGAGGAAAGAACAAGGGGCGCGCUCAAGGCCACGCAGACGGCGCCAACCGGCGUGCGUGCUUGCCCGCCGCCGUUGCGUCUCGCUCGCUUGCCUCCUCUCCCCCGUGUGUUGCUCGCCUGCCGCCCUACCGUCAUGCCGUUCACGAUCGGUUGAUGAGCCCUGUAAGAUCUGCUGCUGCGGGUUGAGAUCGAACACCGGCUACAGCGGCAAUUCACAGGGGCUCAACGGCGACUACAAGGGAUGAGCUGCCUCUCCCCUGAAAAUAAAGGUAGCGCAAAGGGGUCAUGCCCUUUCACUUUGCCAUGGCGGGACACUAGGCGAGCGGAGGGAGAUGUCCUGUUUCCCUGGCUGGUGGCCGGCCUCUAUGCGCAUGGCCCAUGGGGAAUUGGGGAGCGACCCCAUUGCCGCUGCAUCACACUGUCGACCAUGGGCACAUGGAGCACGAGCGCGGAGACGAGUCCGGCGACCGCCGGCAGUGGGAUUCGUCGACUCCGACGCGAGAACUCCACGGCUUCCAUUCAACUAUUCUUUUCUUCGAUUUUCCUCCUUUGUCUUAUAUAUGUGUUCAUCUCUCAUUAAUUUUUCCGGUUAUGUUUAGUUAUGCAAUCACCCACCACAUUGCAACGUUGGCGACCAGGUGCGCGGUGGCAUACUUUCUUGGUUUGGAUGGUUGACCUGCCGAGCUUCCCAUGGGGAGAGAUGCCACUGCUACAGAUCGUAGCCUCCACGCCCAGGAGCCUCCGCUAAUGAGCUCUUAUGUCACUAUGUCAGUGGUUUACAGAAAAAUGCUAAAACAAGAGAGUUUCAGGGGUUGGCAUUUGAGUUCAAUCUCUGCGAAGCUUUGCCCUCAAGGGAGCAGGUAGGUAUUUUUUUUCUGCUCUGCUGACUUAUCUUUCUGAUUCACUUGAUACAACUUCAGGUCCAGGGGCUGCCUUAUUUACAGAUAUGAGAUUAACUCAUUCAAGGAUGAAGUACCAGAGUACAUUACAAAGCAUGGACUUCGCAUCUGUCGGGGGUCAUGGCAUGUUGUUGCGGCUGGGAGGCGCAGUGUUGAGCGGCGGCGGUAGCGGCGCUGGGGGAUGGGCGUGGUUGUGUGGACCACGAGCGGGCACAAUGAGCUUCUGCUCUGCGGUUCCUCCACCUUCUGCUGAAUUAUUUGUUCUUACAAAGGAAGGUACAUAUGUGUGCUACUUCUCAAGAGAGGCAAGCAUCAGCUGUGUGUUUGCUUAAGGAGAAGACAACCCAACAGCUUCUUCGUAUCGAUUAUUUUGAUCAAUAGGUCAUAUUGUCAGUAUUACUGUAUUUUAUUCAGUCUUUAGUAGUUUAAUUACUUGCACAACAAUAUUACCUAACUGAAUGUUCCUCCCAUUUAGAUUUUUUCCUCUGCAGUAGUAAGAAAUUCAGUGGUUCAGCUGACUUACCAGGGGAAUUACUACUGAAUUUCUUCACCAACAUUUUAGAGUGUGUUUGACUGGUGUAAUGGUGUUCUCGAUGAACAUUUUCAGAGUGAGCUUACUACAAUAUCAGAUUGACUACUUCAAGUACAUUUAAACUCGCCUUCCACAGUUGUGUGCUCUAUGUCAAGCCAAUGGAAUCAUAGGCGAGGGGAUCAGAAUGUGUCAAUGAAGAAUGGAAAAAUAUUUGAUCGUAUAUUCAGGUAAGGUGCCAUGUUCAUCUGUACUUUCUAGCUAUUCCAUUGUCUUUAAUUGCUUCGACCACUUCAGUUUUCCUAAAAUUGAUGGCAUCACAAGUUUCAGUUAAGCACACAGAAUUCUUAUGCGGUACAGGUUAAGUUCCACGUUCUUCUCUACUUUCUAGCUAUUCCAUUGUUUUUAAUUGCUUUGAGAAGUCUAGAUUUCCUAGAAUUGAUGGCAUCACAGGGUUAGAAUUGAUGGUUGUGCUAAGUUAAGACCACAGUUUAUUCAUUGCUUUAAUUUUCCUAGAAGAAAAACUGGGACGGGACACUGGGACUGGGACGGGACUGGGACGGGAGCAACCAACAAUUUUCUGUACUCAAAGAUGUCAGCUCUGCAACUGAAAAGAAGAUAAGGAAGGCCAAAGCAUGGCUGCUGCACCUGCCAAGAAACCACUCCUCGGUAAGCAGCAGGUUUAGACACAAAUUAAACACAUACAAUGAACUGACUUUUACCUUAUUUCUUCUUCUCGCACCAAAACAAAGAUUCACCUAGAAGAACGGCUCAGGUCAGCCAAGAACCGAUGAAGGAAAGAUUUAAUACACUACUACCAAUCAGUUAUGUAUAGUAUUAUGGACCUACCAACUAUCCUAGACGAUAAGUAAUUUUGUGUAUUGUAAUAUUAAGUAUUCAUCACCCAGCUAUGUAUGAUUGUCCUAAUCGUACUCUCAUGUUUCUGCAAUAGUAGUAUUCUACUAUUUGGUACAGUUGACCGCUCUAGAUACUAUGUAUAAUACUCUGUUCGGUACUGAAUCUGUUGUCGGUAUAUAUUUGUCUUGCCAAGGAAAACUAAUAAUGCCUCUUUGCUCAAUGCCCGACAUUACAUUGCUCCAUUAUUCUCUGUCUCCACCUGCCCCUUUCAAGGCGAUAGACUCAGCUUCACAGGUUGA